This 542-nucleotide ribosomal RNA is filed under the name uncultured bacterium. Its description in RNAcentral is "partial 16S ribosomal RNA". It matches the Rfam family "Bacterial small subunit ribosomal RNA", at positions 355 to 895 of the family's 1533-position model. The record is from RNAcentral.
UGGGGAAUUUUGGACAAUGGGCGAAAGCCUGAUCCAGCAAUGCCGCGUGUGUGAAGAAGGCCUUCGGGUUGUAAAGCACUUUUGUCCGGAAAGAAAUCCUUGGCUCUAAUACAGUCGGGGGAUGACGGUACCGGAAGAAUAAGCACCGGCUAACUACGUGCCAGCAGCCGCGGUAAUACGUAGGGUGCAAGCGUUAAUCGGAAUUACUGGGCGUAAAGCGUGCGCAGGCGGUUUGCUAAGACCGAUGUGAAAUCCCCGGGCUCAACCUGGGAACUGCAUUGGUGACUGGCAGGCUAGAGUAUGGCAGAGGGGGGUAGAAUUCCACGUGUAGCAGUGAAAUGCGUAGAGAUGUGGAGGAAUACCGAUGGCGAAGGCAGCCCCCUGGGCCAAUACUGACGCUCAUGCACGAAAGCGUGGGGAGCAAACAGGAUUAGAUACCCUGGUAGUCCACGCCCUAAACGAUGUCAACUAGUUGUGGGAUUCAUUCUUAGUAACGUAGCUAACGCGUGAAGUUGACCGCCUGGGGAGUACGUCGCAAGAUU